AAUACGUUCCCGGACCUUGCACACACCGCCCAUCAAGCCAUGGAAGCUGGGUGUACCUAAAGUCGGUAACCGUAAGGAGCCGCCUAGGGUAAAACUAGUGACUGGGGCU
This 109-nucleotide ribosomal RNA is filed under the name uncultured bacterium. RNAcentral's name for it is "partial 16S ribosomal RNA". It matches the Rfam family "Bacterial small subunit ribosomal RNA", at positions 1365 to 1482 of the family's 1533-position model. The record is from RNAcentral.